Molecule: ribosomal RNA, 683 nt
Filed under: uncultured fungus
Lineage: Eukaryota; Fungi
Description: eukaryotic LSU rRNA
Rfam family: 5.8S ribosomal RNA (bases 241-394)
Source: RNAcentral
AAGUCGUAACAAGGUUUCCGUAGGUGAACCUGCGGAAGGAUCAUUAUCGUACAACUGAGGCACAAGGGCUGUCGCUGACUUUUCGUCGUGCACGCCCAAGUGCUCUCAAACAUCCAUCUCACCCCUAUGUGCACCACCGCGUGGGUCCCCCUUUGGCUUGUCCCGAGGGGGGCUCGCGUUUUCACACAAACUCGAUACAGUAUAGAAUGUCUUUAUUUUGCGGUAACACGCAAUUAAUACAACUUUCAACAACGGAUCUCUUGGCUCUCGCAUCGAUGAAGAACGCAGCGAAAUGCGAUACGUAAUGUGAAUUGCAGAAUUCAGUGAAUCAUCGAAUCUUUGAACGCACCUUGCGCCCCUUGGCAUUCCGAGGGGCACACCCGUUUGAGUGUCGUGAAAUUCUCAAAACCCUUUCUUUUAAGGAUUUUGGACUUGGAGGCUUUUUGCUGGUUUCACAUUGAAGCGAGCUCCUCCUAAAUGGAUUAGUGGGGUCUGCUUUGCUGAUCCUUGACGUGAUAAGAUGCUUCUACGUCUUGGGUUUGGCACUGUCCAUCGGGCACCUGCUUCUAACCGUCUCAUCGACAAUGAUGGUGCUCCGGUCACCACCGUUUCAUCGGUGGGAGGCUUGACCCACCAAAAAAAACCUUGACCUCAAAUCGGGUGAGACUACCCGCUGAACUUAA